AUUGAACGCUAGCGGGAUGCUUUACACAUGCAAGUCGAACGGCAGCGCGGACUUCGGUCUGGCGGCGAGUGGCGAACGGGUGAGUAAUGUAUCGGAACGUGCCCAGUAGCGGGGGAUAACUACGCGAAAGCGUAGCUAAUACCGCAUACGCCCUACGGGGCAACGCAGGGGAUCGUAAGACCUUGCACUAUUGGAGCGGCCGAUAUCGGAUUAGCUAGUUGGUGAGGUAACGGCUCACCAAGGCGACGAUCCGUAGCUGGUUUGAGAGGACGACCAGCCACACUGGGACUGAGACACGGCCCAGACUCCUACGGGAGGCAGCAGUGGGGAAUUUUGGACAAUGGGGGCAACCCUGAUCCAGCCAUCCCGCGUGUGCGAUGAAGGCCUUCGGGUUGUAAAGCACUUUUGGCAGGAAAGAAACGUCGCGGGCUAAUACCCCGUGGAACUGACGGUACCUGCAGAAUAAGCACCGGCUAACUACGUG
This 484-nucleotide ribosomal RNA is filed under the name uncultured bacterium. RNAcentral's name for it is "partial 16S ribosomal RNA". It matches the Rfam family "Bacterial small subunit ribosomal RNA", at positions 30 to 507 of the family's 1533-position model. The record is from RNAcentral.